CUGUACCCACGUACACUCCGGUUCCUCCGCGCCGUCCGCACCCACCUGACGACUGCUCGCUACGUUUUGUUAGCC
This 75-nucleotide small RNA is filed under the name Xanthomonas campestris. RNAcentral describes it as "sRNA sX9". It matches the Rfam family "Xanthomonas sRNA sX9". Lineage: Bacteria; Pseudomonadati; Pseudomonadota; Gammaproteobacteria; Lysobacterales; Lysobacteraceae. RNAcentral also lists the same sequence under 3 other names. The record is from RNAcentral.